GGAUGCGAUCAUACCAGCACUAAAGCACCGGAUCCCAUCAGAACUCCAAUGUUAAGCGUGCUUGGGCGAGAGUAGAACUAGGAUGGGUGACCUCCUGGGAAGUCCUCGUGUUGCAUUCC
This 119-nucleotide ribosomal RNA is filed under the name Triticum aestivum (bread wheat). The record is from RNAcentral. Lineage: Eukaryota; Viridiplantae; Streptophyta; Magnoliopsida; Poales; Poaceae.